RNAcentral lists this ribosomal RNA (253 nucleotides) under uncultured bacterium. Its description in RNAcentral is "partial 16S ribosomal RNA". It matches the Rfam family "Bacterial small subunit ribosomal RNA", at positions 524 to 776 of the family's 1533-position model. The record is from RNAcentral.
UACGUAUGGUGCAAGCGUUAUCCGGAUUUACUGGGUGUAAAGGGAGCGCAGGCGGCACGGCAAGCCUGAUGUGAAAGCCCGCGGCCCAACCGCGGGACUGCAUUGGGAACUACCGGGCUGGAGUGCCGGAGAGGUAGGCGGAAUUCCUAGUGUAGCAGUGAAAUGCGUAGAUAUUAGGAAGAACACCAGUGGCGAAAGCGGCUCUCUGGUCUGUAACUGACGCUGAGGUUCGAAAGCGUGGGUAGCAAACAGG